UUAAUUCCUAGUUGCCUCGUCUCCCGAAUCGGCCCAAUCCCAUCGUUCUCGUCAAUCGCGGCUGCUCACCGGCGCUCGUCUUAAUCGCCAUCGAUAUCCUCAUGGCCUCACUCCCUCCCCGUCCCUCACCAGCUCCCCAAUCCCCAUCGCUCCGCCACGGGACACCAUGGAGCUGGCGAGAACCUAGCCGGAAUCAAUUUGAUCUCCGCUCGGCGCUCCCCAAAUUUCCUUCACGCAGGCAAUCGCAGGCUGUGGCCUAGCCGGAAUCAAUCAAUCUGAUCUCCGCCCAGCCCUCCCCAAGUUUCCUUCAAACUAGCAAUCGCGGCAGGCUGUGGUGCGGUCAAUACUGGAUUAGCACGGCAAAUCGACGGCAAAUCGGCAACAGCGAUCAAGCCCAAUGGCUCCAACUCUCCGCUCCAGUACUAGCAAUCCUGGCCGAUCAUUGGCUUCUCAAGAUGGAGCAGAAGGUUCAGCUGUGGCUGGUUCAGGGAAUGGAAACUCCGUCGAUCCUUCAGUGUCUCAACAUGCUACUCCAAUAUCGCAAGCUGCUACUCCAAUAUCUCAAGCUGCUACUCCGACAUCUGAAGCUGCUACUCCGACAUCUCAGGUUACAUCUGGUAGAGCUGGUUCUAAGAGGAAGCUAACAUCUGCAGUAUGGAAUGAGAUGGAAUCAAAAUUAGAAAAUGGAGAAUGGAAAGCUGAGUGCAAUUAUUGUCACAGAAAAUUUGCUUCAGGACCUAGAGCUGGCACCAGUCACUUGCAUUCGCAUUUGGAUUCUUGUCCUGCUAGGCAUGCACCUAUGGGCCCAAAGCAACAAAAAUUAAGGUUGACAAAAGGUGAAGGUGGCAAAGUGAAUGUAGAAAAUAUCAUUUUUGACCAAGAGAAGGCUAGGAAAGAUCUUGCAUUGAUGAUCCCCUCUAUGGUAUAAACUCAAUAUUCUUAAUGCUCUUUAUGGUCCCCUCUAUGGACGAGAGCAUGCAACCACAGAAAUAGAGAAGGUGAGGAAAUUACUGAUUGGAUUAGUGAAGCAAUAUAAAGACGAAGUUGAAGGUGAGGAUACAUGGGAUGCUUAUGUUGCUGAGCCAGUUGGAGAAGAAGAUGAAGCCAUGAAACUGUAUGAUCUGUAUAUGUCUAGUCGUCCCACUGUACCUUCUUCAUCAAUCCAUACAGAAUUGGACUUGUAUUUGGAAGAAGCUUGUCUUCCUAGAACACAAGAACUGGAUAUCAUCACUUGGUGGAAGGUUAGCGGCUCGAGGUUUCCUACUUUGCAAAAACUUGCUCGUGAUAUAUUGCCUAUUCCCAUAACAUCUGUGGCUUCCGAAUGUGCAUUUAGUACUAGCGGAAGAGUACUAAGUGCGCAUCGUAGUAGACUUACUCCGAAUGUGGCUGAAGCUCUCAUGUGCAUGCAAGCUUGGUCUCGUGCUGAUAUGUUAGGUGGAUGGGAUUCUACUCUCUUUGCUACAUUUCAGAGUGUUCUUGAGGAUGAUGAAGAAGGUAUGGAUGAGUCUACUUCAAUCAUCACUCAAGAGUGAAGAUGCGGCACUACUUCUAUCUCUGUUGGGUUGGCGGUUGACGGCUGGUGUUUGUGCUCUCUAGAUGUUGUCCAGCAAGCUGCUGUUUGUGCUGGUCUAGUAGCUGGUGUAGAUGGCCCAAAGAACCAACAUCACUUGUCGUUGUGUUGUCCGCUAGCUAUUUCCGUUGGCUGAUGCUGGUGCUAGAUGUUGGCUUUUCGCUGAGACUAUGAAAUUUACCUUUCUGUUGUUAUUUGUUACUUGCUGGCUAUUAUGCCCUGAACUAUGUUAAGUCGUGGUGUCAACCAUUGUCAAAUUAUCAUGUCACUUUUGAUUUACU
This is a long non-coding RNA of Lolium perenne, 1851 nucleotides long. RefSeq lists it as uncharacterized. The record is from RefSeq and is a predicted model, not a curated record. NCBI's taxonomy places the organism in Eukaryota, Viridiplantae, Streptophyta, Magnoliopsida, Poales, Poaceae.